CCUACGGGAGGCAGCAGUGGGGAAUCUUGCACAAUGGAGGAAACUCUGAUGCAGCGAUGCCGCGUGAGUGAAGAAGGCCUUUGGGUUGUAAAGCUCUUUUGUAGGGGAAGAUAAUGACUGUACCCUAAGAACAAGGUCCGGCUAACUUCGUGCCAGCAGCCGCGGUAAUACGAAGGGACCUAGCGUAGUUCGGAAUUACUGGGCGUAAAGCGCGCGUAGGCCGUUGAGUUAGUUAAUUGUGAAAUCCCAAAGCUUAACUUUGGAACUGCAAUUAAAACUGCUCGACUAGAGUUUGAUAGAGGAAAGCGGAAUACAUAGUGUAGAGGUGAAAUUCGUAGAUAUUAUGUAGAACACCAGUUGCGAAGGCGGCUUUCUGGAUCAACACUGACGCUGAGGCGCGAAAGUAUGGGUAGCAAAGAGGAUUAGAUACCCUCGUAGUCCAUACCAUAAACGAUGAUUGCUAGAUGUUGGAAAUUUAUUUUCAGUAUCGCAGCUAACGCAUUAAGCAAUCCGCCUGGGGAUACGACCGCAAGGUUAAAACUCAAAUNAUAGACGCGNGAGACGUGCGACGACGACGACGAGGAGAGG
Molecule: ribosomal RNA, 588 nt
Filed under: uncultured bacterium
Lineage: Bacteria
Description: bacterial SSU rRNA
Rfam family: Bacterial small subunit ribosomal RNA
Source: RNAcentral